This 2891-nucleotide long non-coding RNA is filed under the name Citrus sinensis (sweet orange). RNAcentral describes it as "long non-coding RNA (CSIN_LNC004511)". Lineage: Eukaryota; Viridiplantae; Streptophyta; Magnoliopsida; Sapindales; Rutaceae. The record is from RNAcentral.
UCAUGGUACUAGCGGUAUACCAUGAGGAUGUCAUCAUCAUCCAUUUUACAAGGGAUCAUCGUCUCCCACGAUGAUGAGAGACUUACCACUAGCAAUACUAUCAGUAUCUGAUCUGGAGCCACUUGCCGAUCCUGCUCCAUUUCUACUAUGACAAUCUCUUUUUAAGUGCCCCGAUUGUCCACACCCCCAGCAGACUCCUUUCUUCUUAGAUUUAUCUUUCUGCCAAUUCCCUACAACUGCCAAAGCCGAGACAUCUAUAGUUUUAGUACUUUCACCACCCAGUCUCCUUUCUUCUGAGAGUAAAGUACUAGUAACUUCUUCAAGAUCUAUUGUCUCCUUCCCAUACAUCAAAGUAGGUAACAAGUGUUUGUAGGAAGUUGGAAGUGACCAUAGUAACCUAAGCGCCUUGUCCUCAUCUUCAAUUUUAACUCCAAUGGCUUCUAGUUCUGACACAAUACCAUUGAGAACACUGAGGUGAUCAGAAAUUUUUGUACCUUCAGCCAUUCGCAGUGUGUGAAAUCGCUCCUUCAGGUACAAUCGAUUUGAGAUGCUCUUUGUCUGAUACAACUUUUCUAUCUUCUCCCAAAGUUCUUUUGCUGUAGGAAUUUUUCCUACAUUUGCAAGAACAUUCUUUGCUAAACACAGUCGUAUGUCACUUGCAGCUCUAUCAUCUAAUUCUUCCCAAUCGUCAUCACUUAUACUAACUUUUCCAAAGCCACUACUGGAAGCAGGGGAUGGCUUCCCUUUCAAUGCCUUGUGUAACCCAGAUUGAAUCAAUACAUCUUUGACUUGAACUUGCCACAAGCCAAAGUUAAUUCUCCCAUCGAAUUUUUCUAUUUCAAAUUUCACCGGACUUGAAAAUUUCAAUCCUGACAUAUUUGCUUUGCAGAUCAACUUUUACUCUUCACCACGGACUGUUUGGAUUGGCUCCCACUGCUUCACGUGAAUAGUACCUUAUACGUAAAUAGUACCUUAUACGUAAAUAGUACCGUAUACGUGAACAGUACCGUAUACGUGAACAGUGCCUCGACACCAAAACUUUAAUCAAUGGCUCUGAUACUACUGUUAGGAAAUUGAGUUUCCUCCCAAGAUCUCUCCAAGCAAUUUAUCAAGCAACAAAUUAAUAAGAAAAAUUAAAUGGAGAAUAUACCAAUCACACAACACAAGAUUUACGUGGAAAACUUUAAAUCCGGAGAAAAACCACGGCCGUUGUCAAAAAGACAAACAGAAAAAAAAUAUUCACUAUGUGAAAAAUUAUUACAACCACUCUCUUAGAAAUAAUUUUCUCUCACCUAAUUCUCAAAUACACCCCAAAGAAGCAUUCUCUGAAUGAAGAAGAGAAACCGAUGAUUGGAUACAAAAAACCAAAAAUGGGGAGCUUCCUUAUAUAGCCAAAAUUGGCUAUUACAAAAUUGGCUAUUAUUUUAAUAUUUUCUUUAUUCUUCUCGUGGCCUCUUCAAAGCCGUGUUCCAACCUUUUUCUUUCUUCCAUUUUGGCGUUCCAACCAUCAUUUGUCAAGAUCAACUUCUGCAACAUCUUCUUCAUUCUUCCUUCUUUUUCUUCCUUGGCGGUGCCUAACCCUUCAACAUUUGCUGCAUCAACGCUUCUAGAUGUAGCUUUUAGAAGCUGCAGCCAAAUACUUUGACAUUCUCCCACUUGGAGUUUUGAUUGAGAAUCAAUCAAUCUCCACACUAACCUUACUAUUUUCACCUUAGUCAUAAUCUUCACCAUAGAGAAUUAUUAUACUCCACCAUAAAAAGUAUACCAUUUAGAAUUAAUUACCAAUUCUAAGAAUUUUACAUCGGCACAUGUCGAAAUAUUCUGCUGAAAUUUAUGGUGCAACUUCCAUGUUGGCUUUCCUAGAAAUUCAUCAGCAAUCGACAUAAAUUCCACCACACACCCUGCAUCAAUGUCAACCAUGCCUUGUGUGUAAAUCUUGUGGACUUGCUAGUAGUAAAACAUUCCCUUUCAUGGUACUAGCGGUAUACCAUGAGGAUGUCAUCAUCAUCCAUUUUACAAGGGAUCAUCGUCUCCCACGAUGAUGAGAGACUUACCACUAGCAAUACUAUCAGUAUUUGAUCUAGAGCCACUUGCUAAUCCUGCUCCAUUUCUACUAUGACAAUCUCUUUUUAAGUGCCCCAAUUGUCCACACCCCCAACAGACUCCUUUCUUCUUAGAUUUAUCUUUCUGCCAAUUCCCUACAACUGCCAAAGCCGAGACAUCUGUAGUUUUAGUACUUUCACCACACAGUCUUCUUUCUUCUGAGAGUAAAGUACUAGUAACUUCUUCAAGAUCUAUUGUCUCCUUCCCAUACAUCAAAGUAGGUAACAAGUGUUUGUAGGAAGUUGGAAGUGACCAUAGUAACCUAAGCGCCUUGUCCUCAUCUUCAAUUUUAACUCCAAUGGCUUCUAGUUCUGACACAAUACCAUUGAGAACACUGAGGUGAUCGGAAAUUUUUGUACCUUCAGCCAUUCGCAGUGUGUGAAAUCGCUCCUUCAGGUACAAUCGAUUUGAGAUGCUCUUUGUCUGAUACAACUUUUCUAGCUUCUCCCAAAGUUCUUUCGCUGUAGGAAUUUUUCCUACAUUUGCAAGAACAUUCUUUGCUAAACACAGUCGUAUGUCACUUGCAGCUCUAUCAUCUAAUUCUUCCCAAUCUUCAUCACUUAUACUAGCUUUUCCAGAGCCACUACUGGAAGCAGGGGAUGGCUUCCCCUUCAAUGCCUUGUGUAACCCAGAUUGAAUCAACACAUCUUUGACUUGAACUUGCCACAAGCCAAAGUUAAUUCUCCCAUCGAAUUUUUCUAUUUCAAAUUUCACCGGACUUGAAAAUUUCAAUCCUGACAUAUUUGCUUUGCAGAUAAGCUUUUACUCUUCACCACGGACUGUUUGGA